Molecule: ribosomal RNA, 253 nt
Filed under: uncultured bacterium
Lineage: Bacteria
Description: partial 16S ribosomal RNA
Rfam family: Bacterial small subunit ribosomal RNA
Source: RNAcentral
UACGUAGGGACCAAGCGUUGUUCGGAUUUACUGGGCGUAAAGAGCGCGCAGGCGGUCGUGCAAGUCGCGUGUGAAAGCCCCCGGCUCAACUGGGGAGGGUCACGCGAUACUGCUCGACUCGAAGGCAGGAGAGGGAAGUGGAAUUCCCGGUGUAGUGGUGAAAUGCGUAGAUAUCGGGAGGAACACCAGUGGCGAAGGCGACUUCCUGGCCUGUUCUUGACGCUGAGGCGCGAAAGCUAGGGUAGCAAACGGG